This 1365-nucleotide long non-coding RNA is filed under the name Nicotiana tabacum (common tobacco). RNAcentral describes it as "long non-coding RNA (NTAB_LNC009177)". Lineage: Eukaryota; Viridiplantae; Streptophyta; Magnoliopsida; Solanales; Solanaceae. The record is from RNAcentral.
AGUCUUGAAUGGUUCUUCAUGCAGACUUUAGAUUUGAACCUUGGCGCUUGUUAGCUGCAGGUGCUAGCUCAUUCUUCUUCAACUUUUUGGAUCAAAACCAGACAUGUAGUGCUUGUGACUUCCACCAUGUCUUAAGCAGUUCACAUCUUCCAUCAACUUCUGCAUUUGGAUUAACUUCUUGCCCUUCUCCUUUUUUCUUUAUUGUGACUAACUUCUGUUGAUCACCUCGGACUGUUGACUCACAUUUUUGCCGCGAGCUCCUUUUGUUGCUGACUUGAAUUAUAAUCUGAGAUACUUUCCCUUUCUCCUGGUGGAUGCCUGAUUGCUGAACUCGAAUUGUACUUUGAGAUGCUUUCCCUUUCUCCAGGUGGACGCCUGACUGCUGAAGUUGAACUGUGUUCCCCUGCUCUCCAGGUGGGCUCCUGACUGUAUGAACUUGAAUGUAUCCCCUUGUUCUCCAGGUGGGAUCCUGACUGCUGAAACUUGAAUGUAUCCUCUUGUUCUCCUGGUGGGCUCCUGACUGCUGAAACUUGAAUGUAUUCCCUUAUUCUCCAGGUGGGCUCCUGAUUGCUGAACUCGAAAUGUAUUUCCUUGUUCUCCAAGUGGGCUCCUGAUUGCUGAAACUUGAAUGUAUUCCCUUGUUCUCCAGGUGGGCUCCUAAUUGCUGAACUCAAAAUGUAUUCCCUUGUUCUCUAGGUGGGCUGCUGACAAAUAUCAAUAAGAACUUGAAAGAUGAAACUUGAACUGUACUCCCUUGCUCUCCAGGUAGGCGCCUGAUUGCUGAAACUUGAACUGUUGUUAUUUGUUCUUCAGGUGGACGCCUGAUUGCUGAUAUUUCAACCGUUGUUCCUUGUUCUCCAGGUGGACGCCUGAUUACUGAAUCUUCAACUGCUUUUCCUUGUUCUUCAGGUGGACGCUUGAUUGCUAAUAUUUCAACCAUCUUAUCUUUGCAAUUGCCUUUCUUUGACUUGUUCUCCCUCGUUCCUCCAGGUGAGUGCCUGAUUACCAAUACUUGUGUCAAUCUUUCUUGAAACUUGAUUUGUUUUUCCUUGUUCUCCAGGUGGGCUCCUGAUUACUUGAUCCUGAACUGCUUUUAAUCCUUAACAUCCGUGUUGUUUUCCCUGUUCUUUAGAUGGGCACCUGACUUCAACAAAAUAGACAAAACAAAAAGAAAAAUUUCUGCCCCAGUUUGGUAACGGAGCGCAUCUGUGAGUGUUAAUUGGAUCAUUUUACUCAAUAUUUCUAAUAAUCUGUAAGCUAGAUCCCACUAUCCAGGAGGGUCCUGAAAUUCCAAAUUAAAGUUUAUCUUACGAAUGACGAUUUCAGCAUUAAACUGUGAUCUCUUAUAACAAAACUUACUUAUCU